This is a long non-coding RNA of Musca domestica (house fly), 608 nucleotides long. RefSeq lists it as uncharacterized. The record is from RefSeq and is a predicted model, not a curated record. NCBI's taxonomy places the organism in Eukaryota, Metazoa, Arthropoda, Insecta, Diptera, Muscidae. The transcript has 2 exons.
GCCAGUUCCACGAUAUCGAAAGAACACGUUCGCACAACUUUUACACGACAAACAGCUGAUUUCCGUUCCACUAAAAUCUAUCAGAACGAAAAUUUGCACGAAAAUCAAAGCGAACGAAAACGUAAGCAUUUCAGUGUAAUUUUGCGUUCCACUAUCUUUUUUCUUUCGUACGCAUGCGAACACAAAUGUCAAAAUCAGUCACUUGUGUGUUUGCUAUCGUAUAAUAACAAUUAAGGAAAAUUGUUUUAACAUAAACAUUGCUUGAUUGAAAAUGGAAACAAAAAUCUCGAAAAAAUCAUCAACUACACAGCUGCGGGCACUAGUUGAGUAAAUGGAGGAGAAUCCUGUGUUCGCCAGAUGAAUGCCAAUUUUUGGAAGCAGCAGAAGAAGUUUUAAAUCGGGGCGGAUUUGGGUAGUUCUGCAACCGGGCACCCACCUCUCUUCCAUCAUAUCCAAAAGAGCCCGAAAACUUCCUUCGACACACGAAAGUUGGCCACAAACCUAGAAAAAAUCAUUUUUUAUUAUUUCAAAAAUGUAAAAAUACAAUCAUACUUACUGGUUGUUAGGUACUUCAAAUAAAUUCGAAGCAUCUCUUAAAUUCCUCCGUG